This 66-nucleotide transfer RNA is filed under the name Ictidomys tridecemlineatus (thirteen-lined ground squirrel). Its description in RNAcentral is "Spermophilus tridecemlineatus (thirteen-lined ground squirrel) tRNA". It matches the Rfam family "tRNA". From Rfam's summary of the family: Transfer RNA (tRNA) molecules are approximately 80 nucleotides in length. The record is from Rfam by way of RNAcentral. Lineage: Eukaryota; Metazoa; Chordata; Mammalia; Rodentia; Sciuridae.
GCUGGAGCAGCUCAGUGUUAGAGCACUUGCCUAGCAUGCAUGAGACUCUAGAUUCCAACUCCAGCA